GACGAACGCUGGCGGCGUGCUUAACACAUGCAAGUCGAGCGGUAAGGCCCUUUCGGGGGUACGACGAGCGGCGAACGGGUGAGUAACACGUGGGUGACCUGCCCUCAGCUCUGGGAUAAGCCUGGGAAACUGGGUCUAAUACCGGAUAUGACUCCAUGACGCAUGUUGUGGGGUGGAAAGCCUUGUGCGGCUGAGGAUGGGCCCGCGGCCUAUCAGCUUGUUGGUGGGGUGAUGGCCUACCAAGGCGACGACGGGUAGCCGGCCUGAGAGGGCGACCGGCCACACUGGGACUGAGACACGGCCCAGACUCCUACGGGAGGCAGCAGUGGGGAAUCUUGCGCAAUGGGCGAAAGCCUGACGCAGCGACGCCGCGUGAGGGAUGACGGCCUCA
This 391-nucleotide ribosomal RNA is filed under the name uncultured bacterium. Its description in RNAcentral is "bacterial SSU rRNA". It matches the Rfam family "Bacterial small subunit ribosomal RNA", at positions 28 to 419 of the family's 1533-position model. The record is from RNAcentral.